UACGUAGGGAGCAAGCGUUGUCCGGAAUUACUGGGCGUAAAGGGCGCGUAGGUGGGCGCUUAAGUCAGGUGUGAAAACUCCGGGCUCAACCUGGAGACUGCACUUGAAACUGGGUGUCUUGAGGGCAGGAGAGGAAAGUGGAAUUCCUAGUGUAGCGGUGAAAUGCGUAGAUAUUAGGAGGAACACCAGUGGCGAAGGCGGCUUACUGGACGAUGACUGACGCUGAGGCUCGAAAGUGUGGGUAUCAAACAGG
Molecule: ribosomal RNA, 253 nt
Filed under: uncultured Dehalobacterium sp.
Lineage: Bacteria; Bacillati; Bacillota; Clostridia; Eubacteriales; Peptococcaceae
Description: partial 16S ribosomal RNA
Rfam family: Bacterial small subunit ribosomal RNA
Source: RNAcentral